Molecule: non-coding RNA, 2943 nt
Organism: Monodelphis domestica (gray short-tailed opossum)
Lineage: Eukaryota; Metazoa; Chordata; Mammalia; Didelphimorphia; Didelphidae
Source: RefSeq, a predicted model, not a curated record
UUAGAAUGUCAGUACUUUCUCCUCUUAGACCACAGCUGAUGAAUUGUGCUCAAUUCUGAGAACCGCAUUUUAGGCAGAACAUUAAAAAGAUGUAGAGUCUCCAAAUAAAGGCAGUCAGAAUGGUAGCAAGACCUGAGUUCACGCCAUAUUAGGAUCAACUGAAGGAUUUGGAGACAUUUACCCUGAAGAAGAGAAGACAGUAGGAUGUCUUCAAAUGUCUGAAGUGCUAUCACACAAACGGACUAAACUUACUCUACUCAUUCCCACAGGGCAGAGCUAGGAACAAUAGAUAAUCUACAAAGAGGCAAAUUCAGGCACGAAAGCAAGAAAAACUUUUUAAUAAUUAGAGCUACCAAAGGAGUGCCUUGUGAAGGAUCAUGUUCCUUUUUACUGCAGUUUUGCAAGCAAAGGAUAUAUAGUCACUUGUCAGAUGUGAAACGAUCCUUGGCAGAGAAAGGGAACAAGCUGCUGUUUUUUCCAAGAUCAGAUCAGAUCAAAUCGCAGCCUUCCCCCUAUGAGGGGAGAUGGAUUUACCCUGUUGCCUGGAGACCGGACUGAAACAGAGACCCAGAGAGAGCACCCGGGCACUGGAUCCAGAGGGGUUAAGAAUGAGUCCUGGGCCAGAUAACUCCUGGAAUGGAUAACGGAGCCAAGUAACCCCAGCAAAGUGAAGCCUCAGAUCGAGCUGGAGAUAGACGACAGAAAGAAGAAGGCAGUGUCUGCAGACCCCCUCCCCAGGAAGGAUUUACCUCCUGCCCCAGCGCUCAGGUACCAAUGGUUCAGCCAUGAAGGAAGUAAAGCAGAUGGAGAAUGGAGUUCUAAUAAAUGAAACCACAGGGAAACAGCUAAAAAGGUAUUCAGAAAUGGCUUUCAGAUAUCUGGGAGCAUCUCUACCUCUGACUGAUUAUUUGCCUGCCUCUGAGUUGUUUAUAACAAGAGGAAAAUAAACUUGCCAACACUUCAAAUCAAGAAAGUGGAUCCUUUUGGAGAAGGUGCUAUAAAGAUGCCUGCAGAAGCCACACAUUGCAUCAAAAGAUGCAGAAUGAACUUUGGGAUAUAAUGAACUGAACUGAAGGGGAUUGCACAAUCUUAUUCUGAAUGUAAACUAUUAUUCCAAAGGGGACUGCCCCCUAAUUGGCAUUUUGUCAAUGUGUCUAUCAAUCAGUUUUUGUAUUUUUCCUCUCAUAUUUCCCUCACAUCUCUAACUAUUAUAACUUCGUCUUAGAAAAUGCAAUAUUGUAUGUAUUUUAGAUAGAAGGUAUUUAGAAUUUUAAAAAUAGUUAUGUUUAAAUGAUCCAUUGGGGAGACUGGUCUCCCAAAGGUUCACAGCAGAGAUUGUGCCAAGGGGAUCUUAUCCCCCUCCUGUGUAGCCUGAUCUAUUCAUCAACAUUUUUAAAUACCACAAUUGCACCAGGUUUUGUGGCCGUGAAUGUCCUGAACAUGAAUAAAAGAAAGGGGGAAGGGCUUUUCUGGGUCUUCUUGGAUGGAUACAAUGCUGGAAAGAUAGGUGAGGGAGAGAAAAGGUUAAUGGAGGCUAGACGACACAUGGUCAAAGGACUUAGAAUAAGAAAGAGAUUUUAAACUGUGCUGAUCUACCAUUCCUAGUAAUAAACUUCAUAAAAUUAAUAACUGGGUAGAUAUAUUAAUUUCAAUUGUAAUAAGACUAAAGUUUAAUAUGUAGAUAUGGGCAUCUUCCACAUAGAAAUGGUAAUUAAUUCUAUGGAAACUAUUGAUAUCAUCAAAAAAGGGAGAGAGAAAAGAGAAAAGACAAGAAGUACCAAAGCAGAACAUUAAAAUGUGCAUUUUAAGGAUAUGACAGAACAAAACAGAGAAAUCAAUUGACCAUCCUAUCACUCCUGCUUUCCCUAAAGUUCCGACCCCCUAUUUCCUGUUUAUCGCUAGGUAUAUGUCCCAUCAGCACCUCAAAUUCAGCACAUUCAAACCUGAGCUGUUCUCAUCAAAACUUGCCUUUCCCUUCAUUUCUCUAUUUCACCAUCUUCUGAGUCAUCAACUUAAAAAGUUCAAUUAUCUGCAACUCCAUUUUCUUCUCUCCACAGAUCUAAUCAGUUUUUAGAUCUUGUUAGUCCUCUCUCGGCAAUUUUUCCCAUCCUUUCCCUUUUUUCCACUCACACUGAAACCACCCCAAUUCAAAGCCCUCAUUUUAAUCUUACCUAAAAUAUUAAGAGCCUGAUAAAUGGUCCUUACUCAAUUGGUCCAUUCAUGCUGUUGCCUCAAUAAUAUUCCCUAUAUACUUCUGAUUAUGUUCUCUUAUUAGAAACAUAAAACAACAACAAAAAACCUACAGUGGCAUGGCAUAAUGGAUAAAGCAUAAAUCAAUUUCUGAUGCUGGCUAAUAAGACUAUCCACAAAUUAAUGACAACCUACUUUUUAAACUUGUCACUUCCCCCACUCUUCUACUUCACACAUACAUUGAUUGUUUCAUUUAAACUAAGGUAGUCUUUAUAAUCUUUUCUUAUAUUCUAACAUCCCUGUUUUGAAUCUUUUUUUUUCACACUGUCCACAUGGCAAAAGAAAAAUCUUCCAAUAUCCAUGUUCAACAAAUGAAGUUCUCUUCUGUCAAGGUAUACUUAAGUAUUACCUCUUUCCUGAAGCUUUCUCUGACCUCUUCAGCCCAGAAGAAAGAGCUUUUCUUUAACUUCAACUUGUAAGCAUCCUAAGUGAUCUCUCAAGCAAAAAGACCUUAGGACUCAUGAUUAUUUGUGCCAAUGCAGGUGUGAAGUAUCAUGAAGUAUCUUAUUACCCAAAUGACCUUAAGGAAAGUCAAUUAAACUCAGAGUCCCAGAUUUUUUCAUGUGUAAAAUGAGAAAAUAGAGGCAAGUUCCUCAAUUUUAGAGGGACUUUAGAUCCUGUACCUGGAAACUGAAGUCCAGAGAGAUUGUGACUUCAAGACUUCUCCAACUACUCCAAACAGCAUAAAUCUAC